CUGAACAUAAACUAAAUAAUCAUAAAAUUUAAGCAAUUUCUGUAAUUAGGUUAUUUUUUUAUUUCGAUAUUACCUCUAUUUCUCCUAUUAGUUCAACAGAAAAUAAGGACAUUAACAAAAAUGUAUGCUUCUUCCGGAGGCAGAUUGUGAGCUUAAAUGAACGGUGACCCCAUUUUUUAUUUCAUUUUUCUUUUAAGUAUAUGAUAAAGUUUAUUUAUAAAAAGAUAUAGCGAAAUCCUAUAUUAGAAAAAAAAAUGAUGUAUACCCAGGAG
RNAcentral lists this long non-coding RNA (272 nucleotides) under Mytilus galloprovincialis (Mediterranean mussel). Lineage: Eukaryota; Metazoa; Mollusca; Bivalvia; Mytilida; Mytilidae. The record is from RNAcentral.